ACGAAAGAUUGACGAUUGGUAAGAAAUCCACAACAAGUUGUUCUUCAUGACGAUGUAUCUGAGGGUCUGUAGCUCAGUUGGUUAGAGCACACGCUUGAUAAGCGUGGGGUCACAAGUUCAAGUCUUGUCAGACCCACCAUGAGCAAGACUUAAAGCACUGCUUUAAGGCGAAGCGCAAGGCAAACGAACGUGAGUGAGUGCGCAGGCUAUAAUCUGAUACAUCGAAUCACAAAUGAUAAGCUGGGGACUUAGCUUAGUUGGUAGAGCGCCUGCUUUGCACGCAGGAGGUCAGGAGUUCGACUCUCCUAGUCUCCACCACUCAUUGCGAUGCAAUGAGUUAAACAUUAAGCAAACGAACUGAUAGCUUAUAGAGCUUAGUGAUUAAGUUGCGUAUAAUACGCGGCAUUGUUAUUAAUCUCUGUGAUUUAUCACAGUAAUGCAGUCCGACGAGGAUGCAUUAAAUCAUUAACAGAAUAUAUUUGAGUUGAAAUAAUUUGUUCAUACUCAUGAAAGAGCGGAAACAAGAGGUCGCAAGAUUGAUUGUUGAAGUGAUUGAAUGAGAACUAGCGAAAUUAACUGAAUCAAGCGUUUUGGUAUAUGAAUCUAAUUGAAGCUGUACAGUGAUUAAGUUCACAAGAUCGCAAACAACUACGUUGCUACACUGACUUGUAGGUGUAACGACUGUUUGGGGUUGUAU
RNAcentral lists this transfer RNA (697 nucleotides) under Acinetobacter genomosp. 15TU. The stretch from base 63 to 136 matches the Rfam family "tRNA". Lineage: Bacteria; Pseudomonadati; Pseudomonadota; Gammaproteobacteria; Moraxellales; Moraxellaceae. The record is from RNAcentral.